AUGGCAUCGCCGGCCGCGCGCGCGGCCUCGGCGCUCCUCCUCCUGCUCGCCCUCGCCGUCGCCGGCGUCCUCUCCGACGGCUCCGACCACCGCUACAAGCUCGGCGACCCCGUCCCGCUCUACGCCAACAAGGUCGGCCCCUUCCACAACCCCAGCGAGACGUACCGCUACUUCGACCUCCCUUUCUGCUCCCCGGAGAAAGUGAAGGAGAAGAGCGAGGCCCUCGGCGAGGUCCUCAAUGGGGAUCGGUUGGUUGAUGCGCCCUACAAGCUUGAUUUCCGCACCGAUCACGAUUCCAAGGCCGUUUGCCCCAAGAAGCUUACCAAGGAGGACGUGGCCAAGUUCCGGAACGCGGUAGCCAAGGACUACUACUUCCAGAUGUACUACGAUGAUCUCCCGCUGUGGGGUUUCAUCGGUAAGGUCGAGAAGGGAGGCAAGCCUGACCCGAGCGAGUGGAAGUACUACCUCUACAGGCACAUUAUCUUUGACAUCCUCUACAACAACGACCGUGUCAUUGAGAUCAAUGUGCAUACCGACCAGAGUGCACUGGUUGACCUGACGGAGGACAAGGAGGUUAAUGUGGAUUUCCUUUACACUGUCAAGUGGAAGGAGACACCUACACCAUUCGAGAAGAGGAUGGAGAAGUAUUCCAGCUCCUCCAACAUGCCGCAUCACUUGGAGGUUCAUUGGUUCUCCAUUAUAAAUUCUUGUGUUACGGUCCUUCUCCUCACAGGGUUCUUGGCAACAAUCCUCAUGCGAGUUCUGAAGAAUGAUUUUGUUAAGUAUGCCCAUGAUGAGGAAGCAGCUGAUGACCAAGAAGAGUCUGGAUGGAAGUAUAUUCACGGUGAUGUCUUUCGGUUCCCCAAGAACAAGUCAUUGUUUUCGGCUGCUCUUGGCACUGGAACUCAACUGUUUGCUCUAACAACCUUUAUAUUCCUGCUUGCACUCGUUGGAGUAUUCUACCCUUACAAUCGUGGUGCCCUUUUCACCGCAUUGGUCGUCAUCUAUGCACUCACCUCAGGAAUUGCUGGUUACAUUGCAACCUCUUUCUAUUGCCAGCUAGAGGGAACGAACUGGGUGAGGAACUUGCUACUGACAGGAUGCCUGUUUUGUGGACCUCUCUUCCUGACAUUCUGUUUCUUGAACACUGUUGCCAUUGCUUAUAGUGCAACAGCAGCAUUGCCGUUCGGCACCAUCUGUGUCAUUGUGCUGAUCUGGACCUUAGUCACAUUCCCUCUACUAGUUUUGGGAGGCAUUGCUGGUAAAAACAGCAAGAGUGAAUUCCAGGCUCCUUGCCGUACCACCAAAUACCCUAGGGAGAUUCCUCCACUUCCCUGGUACCGGACAACAGUUCCGCAGAUGGCUAUGGCUGGAUUUUUGCCUUUCAGCGCUAUAUAUAUCGAGCUCUACUACAUCUUUGCUAGUGUUUGGGGCCACCGAAUUUACACGAUCUACAGCAUUCUCUUCAUAGUCUUCAUCAUCCUGCUUAUUGUCACUGCCUUCAUCACUGUUGCGCUGACAUACUUCCAGCUUGCUGCUGAAGACCAUGAGUGGUGGUGGAGGUCAUUCCUAUGCGGAGGAUCAACUGGAUUUUUCGUCUAUGGCUACUGUCUGUACUACUACUAUGCCCGAUCGGAUAUGUCUGGGUUCAUGCAGACCUCUUUCUUCUUUGGGUACAUGGCGUGCAUCUGCUAUGCAUUCUUCCUGAUGCUGGGUAUGGUGGGCUUCCGUGCCGCCCUGUUCUUUGUUCGGCACAUAUACAAGUCGAUCAAGUGUGAGUAA
RNAcentral lists this ribosomal RNA (1782 nucleotides) under Triticum aestivum (bread wheat). Its description in RNAcentral is "partial small subunit ribosomal RNA". The record is from RNAcentral. Lineage: Eukaryota; Viridiplantae; Streptophyta; Magnoliopsida; Poales; Poaceae.